UUGGCCCUGACUGAAGAUCAGUAGUUACACUCUAGCUGCUGAUUUCAAACAAGGGCCCAAAGAACUGUCUUCCUGUGAUCUGUUGGCUGUUUUGGAAGCUCACCAAGAAUGGCUGUUUCAUUUGGAAGAUACAACC
Sorex araneus (European shrew) is the source of this 136-nucleotide small nucleolar RNA. The record is from Ensembl. NCBI's taxonomy places the organism in Eukaryota, Metazoa, Chordata, Mammalia, Eulipotyphla, Soricidae.